GAGGCGGGUCGGGAGAGGGCUGGGGAACGGAAGGGGUACCCGGGGAGCAUCCUAAGGGAACCUCUUCGCUUAAAAGGGCGGCCGCUGAAGUGGCUCUGAGAACAAAGGAGUUAACAUUCGGACUCCACAGCCUGCGUCCCAGCCCGGUCAGCAUCGCAGAUGUUACCCAAACUCUGACGGUCCCUUUAAGAACUCACCUGGAGUCGCGCCCUCCGAAGCUGAGCCGCCGUCGGCCAGCGCUGCAGGCCCCAGCUUAUAAAUCUAUGAAGGUGUCCAGGUCCUGCCAGACUCCACUGCAUCUUUUGCUUUCACUCCAGCAGAGUAGCAGCAUGCUGCCUGUGCCAAGGCAAUCACUAAAAGGAAAGGAUUUAAUGCUGUCAAAAAAGCUUAUGCCAGCUUAGGCUGCAAGAAGAGGAACAGUGUCAAGUAUGUUGAAAGUGGCCAUAUUGGUCAGACCUCCAUGAGAGCCUAGGGGGCAUUGCUUAGCAGCACACUUUUA
Molecule: non-coding RNA, 499 nt
Filed under: Pongo abelii (Sumatran orangutan)
Lineage: Eukaryota; Metazoa; Chordata; Mammalia; Primates; Hominidae
Source: RNAcentral